CCCUUAGAUGUCCGGGGCCGCACGCGCGCUACACUGAAGGAAUCAGCGUGGCUUUCUCCCUGACCCGAAAGGGUUGGGAAACCCGUUGAAUCUCCUUCGUGAUAGGGAUUGGGGCUUGAAAUUGUUCCCCAUGAACGAGGAAUUCCCAGUAAGCGCGAGUCAUAAGCUCGCGUUGAUUACGUCCCUGCCCUUUGUACACACCGCCCGUCGCUACCACCGAUUGAACGGUUUAGUGAGGGCCUCGGAUUGGUCUCGGCCCGCUCUUUACCGGGCGGCGCCGUUGGUCGAGAAGACGCUCGAACUUGAUCGUUUAGAGGAAGUAAAAGUCGUAACA
This 334-nucleotide ribosomal RNA is filed under the name uncultured eukaryote. Its description in RNAcentral is "partial 18S ribosomal RNA". It matches the Rfam family "Eukaryotic small subunit ribosomal RNA", at positions 1470 to 1796 of the family's 1831-position model. The record is from RNAcentral.